UCAGGAUGAACGCUAGCGACAGGCUUAACACAUGCAAGUCGAGGGGCAGCAUAAAAGUAGCAAUACUUGGUGGCGACCGGCGCACGGGUGAGUAACGCGUAUGCAACCUACCUAUCAGAGGGGAAUAACCCGGCGAAAGUCGGACUAAUACCGCAUAAAACAGGGGCACCGCAUGGUGAUAUUUGUUAAAGAAAUUCGCUGAUAGAUGGGCAUGCGUUCCAUUAGGUAGUUGGUGAGGUAACGGCUCACCAAGCCGACGAUGGAUAGGGGAACUGAGAGGUUGGUCCCCCACACUGGUACUGAGACACGGACCAGACUCCUACGGGAGGCAGCAGUGAGGAAUAUUGGUCAAUGGGCGGGAGCCUGAACCAGCCAAGUCGCCGUGAAGGAAGAAGGAUCUAUGGUUCGUAAACUUCUUUUGCAGGGGAAUAAAGUGCAGGACGUGUCCUGUUUUGUAUGUACCCUGAGAAUAAGGAUCGGCUAACUCCGUGCCAGCCGCCGC
This 502-nucleotide ribosomal RNA is filed under the name uncultured bacterium. Its description in RNAcentral is "bacterial SSU rRNA". It matches the Rfam family "Bacterial small subunit ribosomal RNA", at positions 24 to 518 of the family's 1533-position model. The record is from RNAcentral.